This 1434-nucleotide ribosomal RNA is filed under the name Klebsiella sp. enrichment culture clone Xuan01. RNAcentral's name for it is "bacterial SSU rRNA". It matches the Rfam family "Bacterial small subunit ribosomal RNA". Lineage: Bacteria; Pseudomonadati; Pseudomonadota; Gammaproteobacteria; Enterobacterales; Enterobacteriaceae. The record is from RNAcentral.
UGGCGGCAGGCUACACAUGCAAGUCGAGCGGUAGCACAGAGAGCUUGCUCUCGGGUGACGAGCGGCGGACGGGUGAGUAAUGUCUGGGAAACUGCCUGAUGGAGGGGGAUAACUACUGGAAACGGUAGCUAAUACCGCAUAAUGUCGCAAGACCAAAGUGGGGGACCUUCGGGCCUCAUGCCAUCAGAUGUGCCCAGAUGGGAUUAGCUAGUAGGUGGGGUAACGGCUCACCUAGGCGACGAUCCCUAGCUGGUCUGAGAGGAUGACCAGCCACACUGGAACUGAGACACGGUCCAGACUCCUACGGGAGGCAGCAGUGGGGAAUAUUGCACAAUGGGCGCAAGCCUGAUGCAGCCAUGCCGCGUGUGUGAAGAAGGCCUUCGGGUUGUAAAGCACUUUCAGCGGGGAGGAAGGCGUUAAGGUUAAUAACCUUGUCGAUUGACGUUACCCGCAGAAGAAGCACCGGCUAACUCCGUGCCAGCAGCCGCGGUAAUACGGAGGGUGCAAGCGUUAAUCGGAAUUACUGGGCGUAAAGCGCACGCAGGCGGUCUGUCAAGUCGGAUGUGAAAUCCCCGGGCUCAACCUGGGAACUGCAUUCGAAACUGGCAGGCUAGAGUCUUGUAGAGGGGGGUAGAAUUCCAGGUGUAGCGGUGAAAUGCGUAGAGAUCUGGAGGAAUACCGGUGGCGAAGGCGGCCCCCUGGACAAAGACUGACGCUCAGGUGCGAAAGCGUGGGGAGCAAACAGGAUUAGAUACCCUGGUAGUCCACGCCGUAAACGAUGUCGAUUUGGAGGUUGUGCCCUUGAGGCGUGGCUUCCGGAGCUAACGCGUUAAAUCGACCGCCUGGGGAGUACGGCCGCAAGGUUAAAACUCAAAUGAAUUGACGGGGGCCCGCACAAGCGGUGGAGCAUGUGGUUUAAUUCGAUGCAACGCGAAGAACCUUACCUGGUCUUGACAUCCACAGAACUUUCCAGAGAUGGUUUGGUGCCUUCGGGAACUGUGAGACAGGUGCUGCAUGGCUGUCGUCAGCUCGUGUUGUGAAAUGUUGGGUUAAGUCCCGCAACGAGCGCAACCCUUAUCCUUUGUUGCCAGCGGUUCGGCCGGGAACUCAAAGGAGACUGCCAGUGAUAAACUGGAGGAAGGUGGGGAUGACGUCAAGUCAUCAUGGCCCUUACGACCAGGGCUACACACGUGCUACAAUGGCAUAUACAAAGAGAAGCGACCUCGCGAGAGCAAGCGGACCUCAUAAAGUAUGUCGUAGUCCGGAUUGGAGUCUGCAACUCGACUCCAUGAAGUCGGAAUCGCUAGUAAUCGUAGAUCAGAAUGCUACGGUGAAUACGUUCCCGGGCCUUGUACACACCGCCCGUCACACCAUGGGAGUGGGUUGCAAAAGAAGUAGGUAGCUUAACCUUCGGGAGGGCGCUACCACUUGGAU